ACGGGUGAGUAAUGUCUGGGAAACUGCCUGAUGGAGGGGGAUAACUACUGGAAACGGUAGCUAAUACCGCAUAACGCGCAAGACCAAAGAGGGGGACCUUCGGGCCUCUUGCCAUCGGAUGUGCCCAGAUGGGAUUAGCUAGUAGGUGGGGUAACGGCUCACCUAGGCGACGAUCCCUAGCUGGUCUGAGAGGAUGACCAGCCACACUGGAACUGAGACACGGUCCAG
This 228-nucleotide ribosomal RNA is filed under the name uncultured bacterium. RNAcentral describes it as "partial 16S ribosomal RNA". It matches the Rfam family "Bacterial small subunit ribosomal RNA", at positions 102 to 334 of the family's 1533-position model. The record is from RNAcentral.